RNAcentral lists this ribosomal RNA (253 nucleotides) under uncultured bacterium. RNAcentral describes it as "partial 16S ribosomal RNA". It matches the Rfam family "Bacterial small subunit ribosomal RNA", at positions 524 to 776 of the family's 1533-position model. The record is from RNAcentral.
UACGGAGGGUGCAAGCGUUAUUCGGAAUUACUGGGCGUAAAGCGCACGCAGGUGGCUGAGUCAGUCGAUUGUGAAAGCCCUGGGCUUAACCUGGGAAUUGCAGUCGAUACUACUCAGCUAGAGUAUGGGAGAGGGCAGUGGAAUUCCCGGUGUAGCGGUGAAAUGCGUAGAUAUCGGGAGGAACAUCAGUGGCGAAGGCGACUUCCUGGCCUGUUCUUGACGCUGAGGCGCGAAAGCUAGGGGAGCAAACGGG